This 440-nucleotide ribosomal RNA is filed under the name uncultured bacterium. RNAcentral's name for it is "partial 16S ribosomal RNA". It matches the Rfam family "Bacterial small subunit ribosomal RNA", at positions 338 to 795 of the family's 1533-position model. The record is from RNAcentral.
CCUACGGGAGGCUGCAGUGGGGAAUAUUGCACAAUGGGGGAAACCCUGAUGCAGCGACGCCGCGUGAGUGAAGAAGUAAUUCGUUAUGUAAAGCUCUUUUAGCAGGGAAGAAAAUGACGGUACCUGAGUCAGAAGCCCCGGCUAACUACGUGCCAGCAGCCGCGGUAAUACGUAGGGGGCAAGCGUUUUCCGGAUUUACUGGGUGUAAAGGGAGCGUAGACGGCAGUGCAAGUCUGGAGUGAAAGGCGGGGGCUCAACCCCCGAACUGCUCUGGAAACUGUACGGCUGGAGUGCAGGAGAGGUAAGUGGAAUUCCUAGUGUAGCGGUGAAAUGCGUAGAUAUUAGGAGGAACACCAGUGGCGAAGGCGGCUUACUGGACUGUAACUGACGUUGAGGCUCGAAAGCGUGGGGAGCAAACAGGAUUAGAUACCCCUGUAGUC